This 254-nucleotide ribosomal RNA is filed under the name uncultured bacterium. RNAcentral describes it as "partial 16S ribosomal RNA". It matches the Rfam family "Bacterial small subunit ribosomal RNA", at positions 524 to 776 of the family's 1533-position model. The record is from RNAcentral.
UACGGGGGGAGCAAGCGUUGUUCGGAUUUACUGGGCGUAAAGGGCGCGUAGGCGGCCAGUGCAAGUCAGUUGUGAAAUCUCCGAGCUUAACUCGGAAAGGUCAACUGAUACUGCUCGGCUAGAGUGCGGAAGGGGCAACUGGAAUUCUUGGUGUAGCGGUGAAAUGCGUAGAUAUCAAGAGGAACACCUGCGGCGAAGGCGGGUUGCUGGGCCGACACUGACGCUGAUGCGCGAAAGCUAGGGGAGCGAACGGG